Gasterosteus aculeatus aculeatus (three-spined stickleback) is the source of this 805-nucleotide non-coding RNA. NCBI's taxonomy places the organism in Eukaryota, Metazoa, Chordata, Actinopteri, Perciformes, Gasterosteidae. The record is from RefSeq and is a predicted model, not a curated record.
UCAUAUUUCACCUCUUCAACCACAUUGUUCUUUAAUCAUGACGUCAGAUACUAAUUCUUACUCUACAGUUUGUUGCAUUUUGUUAUUUAUUCAUUAAGGUGCUUUUGUAACAAAGACGACUAACAAACCUCCAGUGAAUGAGACACCUGAGAAGAAGACGACCAAAAGUCCACCUGAAGACAAGAAACCAGUGACUGCAGCCUUGUUGAGGACCUUCGUUGUGUGUUUGGGUUCAGCAGCACUUUUAAUAAGUGUUGUUACAGUCAACAUCUGGACAAGAACUAAAGGGAAAGAAACCCGGAUGGAAGAAAUCAUGCAGAUGGAUGAGGUGGUUGAAGGAGACGACUCGGUGAACUACGUAAACGUUGGAGAGCCUUCUGCCUCCGUCUCACUGGACUGAUGGACGACGUGAAGCCACCACAGAGUCCCUGAUGUCAGACGCCAUGACGCCGUUGUCCACGGCAACAGACGCUUUAAGAGGCUUCAGUGCAGAAACGCUUGUGUUUCACUUUAAACGGGACAAAGAUGCUUCAGUCUUUAUACAGACUGAAUGUUUCCUCCUGUGAAGCAGCAGCGCCUUCUGCAACUGCUGUUUAUAUGUUCACACGUUCAUGUUCACCUGCUACGCUUUAUUCUAUUACACAAUGUUAUAUGUGCUUUAUUAUAUUACACAAUUUUAUAUGUACAUUAUUCUAUUACACAAUGAGCUUUGAGCUUUAUGCUUUAAUCUUUUUCAGCAUUUUUAAUUUCAAAUAAAGGUUGAAUGAAAAGUCGAUUGUAAGCUUCAUUAAAAUGUCCAACAGAA